GCCAGUAGAAUGGCCGCAUCUACGGCUGCCAGUUCCUCGCCGCCCUUCUCCUCCACUUUCUCUACUUUAUCAACCUUCUCCGCCUGCUCCUCUUUGCUGUCUUCCGUGGAGAUUUCCGGUUUCUUGGCCAGCGGCAUUUCCACAUCCUCGGCUGCUGCGACUGCUCCAUUGCCGUUAUUCGAGGCAACGGGCACUUCGUUGGCAUUUGCAUCCUCUGCCUUUUGCUCCUCUUCGAUGCUUAUAACGGGAUUGGGUGUGGGUUCAUCCACAUUGGCAGUCUCUUCGUUUUUGGCCAACGCCACUUCCAUGGACUCUGAUUCUGGUUCUGCAACGCCAUUGUUGGCACUGGAAGUGGUUCCUGCGGUGGAAGGGGCUUCCACUGCAACAGCAGCGGCAGCAGCAGCCUCAUUGGAAAUGGGGGGCGAAACAGCCGGCAUUUCCAUCUCUGUCUCUUCCUGACCGUUGCCGUUGCUCUCGGCGAGAGUGAGCGAGAGCGAAGGAGUGGGUGUGGGUGCAGUCGGAUUUAAAGUGGAAGUGGUGGCACUAGCUGCCGCCUGCUGCUCUACCUCUGACGGCUUUGGCGGCUGCGCAUCCUUAUCCUUCUGCUGCUGCGAUAUCUGCUGGAUGUCUACGAUGCGCUCCUGUCGUUCCAGGCUGCCUUUGACGACUGGAAGUGGUGGCGGCGCCUUCACCGUCAGAAUGCCGUCCGAGGAGAGGGUCGAGUGCACCUCGUUGGGAUCAUAGCCCUUGGGCAGGAUGUACUUGCGGAUGAAGUGGCGCGAGAUCACCCCGUGGCCAUCCUCCUUCUCGUCGUGCUGACCCUCGACCACGAUGCAGUUAUCGAUGGUCUUGACGGUCAGUUCGUUGGCGGCGAACUGCUUCACAUUCAUGCUCACCUGGAAGCCGUUCCUAUUCACCACGGAGUAGGCGGAUUUGCUGGCCGCCGGUUGGCCACUGGUGCUGCCGCUUGCCCCGGACGUGCCCUUAUCGCCCAAUUCCUUUUCCAGCUCCACCAGCGACUUAUUGCAGCAAGCAGUCUUGGCUCCGGCCACACGAUUGUACGGAUGAUGGCGAUGCUGCGAUGCCGCCGACUGACCCUUGAUGGGCACCCACAUCAUUGCAUUCCCACGCCCCAACCCACGACUCAGCUGUGGCAACUGUGAGGUGGCCUCCAGUGGAUACAACCCGAAUCCGGCCGAAUCAUCUAUAUCCAUUGCCAGGCUGCGAUUGAAAUCGUGCAGCUCCUCGGCCAAAUCUAGUAUGAACGGUCUUGCGGGGAUUGGUGUCGUCUGGGAACCGGCGGCGAUCCGUUCUGGCCUCCAACUGGACUGCGUUUGAGCCCUUAUGGCUGAAUGUCGACGCUUUUAAGCGGCUGUGCAGCGCUGAAUGGAAAACCUGGUCACUUCCAGUCGGCUUCCAUGCCAGCUCCCAGGCGAAAAACUAUGCAACUCCUCCAGAGAACUCACCAAGGGGAAGGGCUACCCAUUAAAACAGUCAGUCAAGCCAUGUACUAUGCCAUUUUCUGCUAUAUACACCGAAAUAAGAGAUACUUUUCCUCUACCGCAGAUAGCCAGAGAACAAAGAAAGUACUCGUACUCGUAGUCGGCAAGAAACCAGACAAACCAAACUGCAACGUUGCAAAACCAAAUAAAAAAGAUACGUAAAAGAGGCAAACCGGCUUGAAAUCGAAGCAUAUAUGCACGAAUAUCCCCCCCAAGAGAUGCCAUCUUCCUUGUACCGGCGAUAUACAUAUAUGUACUCAUAUAUACAAAUAUCCAUAUAGACGGGGUAUAUGUAAAGUGGUCGUGUUGCAGCUGAAUUCCCACUGCCGGCAUUGAGCGAACAGCUGAGAGUCUGAGUCUCGUGCCGGUUGCCGAUGCGGAUUCGAGUCGCCGGCGAUAAACAACUACAACAACAGCUGGCUGGCUGGCUGGCUGGCAGGGCCGCCUGGAAGCUACAAAUCCGCUGUUGCCAGAGCUGGAGGAUUGGCAAGCCGGCGUCGCGUAAACAUGCGCAGUGACAGCGUCUGGGGCAACCCAUACAUAUGGUAUCUCCAUAUACAUUUGUAUCUACAUACAUACAUACAUACCCUGCCACACAGAUGAUGAUGAUAUUGCUGGAUUCGUAUGUGGUUACAUAGCCAAGUGCAAGCGAUGGCAACCGGUUGAAAAGCUCCAAAAUGCAAAAAACAACAACAACACCAACAACAUCCAGACGGGGGCCAGACAGUGGAGACUUUGCUAAAAAUUUACUGGGGCCCCGAACUCAGCUGCGGGAUACAAUUCUGUAUGGCCAUAUAUUAUAUUAUAUAGUAUGUUUGUAUUGAUAUGGUGUAUCUGCCAGCUGCAGUCGGAAAAGAGCAAAAACCUUCAGAGAUUGCUGCGUACGAGAUGCCCCCUUGUACAUACGAUACAUUCCCCAUGUACAUACACACUGGGUACUUGCUCCCAUUUACCUAACCAAGGGGAAGAAAUCCGCCGGACGAGCAUGCUCGCACAUUAUGUGGCCACCUUUUUGAAUAGACAACUUCCACUGCGUUGGCGUUGGAUUGUCCAAGCCCUGGGCACCAAGAGUACUCUACUUCAGUGGAGGAGGAGUGGUGACAAGAAAAUGGGGCCAUAAAUAAAAACUCGAAUUAUAUAACAACCAGAGAUUGAGUUCUAUAGCAAUGCCCAUGUAUUAUAUGGUUAUUCAAUCGCUACUGUAACAACAAAUUGUAAACAAAUUGUCAUUUGAUUUGGUUAUUACGAAGUAAUUCUGAAUUCUAAACAAUGUGUAUAUAAGCUGAAUAUUUAUCAAGUUGUACCAAGCAAAUGUGCAGCUAAAUCUUACAUACAUACAUAUGUAUUUGUCUUAAGAAAUUGGUCAAAUAUAAUAAAAGGUUACAGCCUCGUUUUCAAU
Molecule: non-coding RNA, 2901 nt
Organism: Drosophila melanogaster (fruit fly)
Lineage: Eukaryota; Metazoa; Arthropoda; Insecta; Diptera; Drosophilidae
Source: Ensembl